RNAcentral lists this ribosomal RNA (733 nucleotides) under uncultured bacterium. Its description in RNAcentral is "bacterial SSU rRNA". It matches the Rfam family "Bacterial small subunit ribosomal RNA", at positions 8 to 760 of the family's 1533-position model. The record is from RNAcentral.
AGAGUUUGAUCAUGGCUCAGGAUGAACGCUGGCGGCGUGCCUAACACAUGCAAGUCGAACGUUAGGGUUUAGCAAUAGACCCAAAAGUGGCGAACGGGUGAGUAACACGUAGGAACCUGCCGCGCAGAGGGGGAUAACGACUGGAAACGGUCGCUAAUACCGCAUGGUACCAGCUUGAUGGGAAGAAGGCUGGUUAAAACCUUGGUGCUGCGCGAGGGGCCUGCGUCCGAUUAGUUAGUUGGUGAGGUAACGGCUCACCAAGACGAUGAUCGGUAGCUGGUCUGAGAGGAUGAUCAGUCACACGGGAACUGAGACGCGGUCCCGACUCCUACGGGGGGCAGCAGUGAGGAAUAUUGCACAAUGGACGCAAGUCUGAUGCAGCAACGCCGCGUGGAGGAUGAAGGUCUUUGGAUUGUAAACUCCUUUUCUCAGGGAAGAGAAUGGACGGUACCUGAGGAAUAAGUCACGGCUAACUACGUGCCAGCAGCCGCGGUAAUACGUAGGUGGCAAGCGUUAUCCGGAAUUACUGGGCGUAAAGCGCACGCAGGCGGUCUCUUAAGUUUGACGUGAAAGCUCCCGGCUUAACUGGGAGAGGUCGUUGAAUACUGGGAGACUUGAGGCAAUGAGAGGGGUGUAGAAUUCCCGGUGUAGUGGUGGAAUGCGUAGAUAUCGGGGGGAAUACCAGUGGCGAAAGCGGCACCCUAGCGUUGUACUGACGCUCAUGUGCGAAAGC